RNAcentral lists this ribosomal RNA (207 nucleotides) under uncultured bacterium. RNAcentral's name for it is "partial 16S ribosomal RNA". It matches the Rfam family "Bacterial small subunit ribosomal RNA", at positions 568 to 774 of the family's 1533-position model. The record is from RNAcentral.
AGCGCAGGCGGUUUCUUAAGUCUGAUGUGAAAGCCUUCGGCUCAACCGAAGAAGUGCAUCGGAAACUGGGAAACAUGAGUGCAGAAGAGGACAGUGGAACUCCAUGUGUAGCGGUGAAAUGCGUAGAUAUAUGGAAGAACACCAGUGGCGAAGGCGGCUGUCUGGUCUGUAACUGACGCUGAGGCUCGAAAGCAUGGGUAGCAAACA